UGGGGAAUAUUGGACAAUGGGCGCAAGCCUGAUCCAGCAAUGCCGCGUGUGUGAAGAAGGCCUUCGGGUUGUAAAGCACUUUUAUCAGGAGCGAAACGCUGUCGGCUAAUACCCGGCGGAACUGACGGUACCUGAGGAAUAAGCACCGGCUAACUUCGUGCCAGCAGCCGCGGUAAUACGAAGGGUGCAAGCGUUAAUCGGAAUUACUGGGCGUAAAGCGUGCGUAGGCGGUUUCUUAAGUCUGCUGUGAAAUCCCCGGGCUCAACCUGGGAAUGGCAGUGGAUACUGGGAGGCUAGAGUGUGUCAGAGGGUGGUGGAAUUCCCGGUGUAGCGGUGAAAUGCGUAGAGAUCGGGAGGAACAUCAGUGGCGAAGGCGGCCACCUGGGACAACACUGACGCUGAGGCACGAAAAGCGUGGGGAGCAAACAGGAUUAGAUACCCUGGUAGUCCACGCCCUAAAAGCGAUGCGAACUGGAUGUUGGUCUCAACUCGGAGAUCAGUGUCGAAGCUAACGCGUUAAAGUUCGCCGCCUGGGGAGUACGGUCGCAAGACUGAAACUCAAAGGAAUUGAC
RNAcentral lists this ribosomal RNA (572 nucleotides) under uncultured bacterium. RNAcentral describes it as "partial 16S ribosomal RNA". It matches the Rfam family "Bacterial small subunit ribosomal RNA", at positions 355 to 914 of the family's 1533-position model. The record is from RNAcentral.